AGGAAUGUAUAGCAUAGCUAGUUGCAUCAUUGUAAUGAGGAUGCAAUAUUGACUAUGUUGAAUAAAAUUCUAGGUAGAAUUAUGAUAAUGACAUUGUCUGCCUAUGUGUCUUGACCAAUUACGUGCCAGCAGUCGCGGUAAUACGUAGAAGACUAGUGUUAUUCAUGUUUAAUCGGUUUAAAGGGUACCUAGACGGCAGAUCAAGCUUUCCGAGAAGAAAAAAAAGAGAAAAAAGGACUAAUUUGCUAGAGUUACUUACGAGGGGGUUUUAAAGUACUGCUGGUGUAGAGAUGAAAUUCUGUCAUACCUCUUUUCGAAAGAAAAAUGAUGGCACAGGUAUAGGCGAAGGCAUCCCCUUAUGUGAUAACUGACGUUGAGGGACGAAGGCUUUAUAUAACGAACAGGAUUAGAUACCCCAGUAGUGGAAGCAGUAAAUGAUGAAUGUCAUAGAUUAGCUAGAUAGGUUCAUUCUAUAAAUGAAAGUGUAAGCAUUCCACCUCAUGAGUAAUUUGGCAACAUUGGAAUUGAAAUCAUUAGACCGUUUCUGAAACCAGUAGUGAAGUAUGUUGUUUAAUUUGAUGAUCCGCAAAAAACCUUACCACAAUUUGAAUAUUUAUAUUUUUUUUUUAUUGUUUUCUUAUUAAUUUUCUUCUCUUUAAUUUAAGAACAAAGUAUUAAAGAAAAGAGGAAAAUAUUUAAUGCAGAGGCAAUAAGAUAUAUUUACAAGCGUUGCACGGCUGUCUUCAGUUAAUGUCGUGAGACUUUGGUUAGAUCCAUUAAAUUAACGUAAACCCUUACUUUAUUUUUAGAUAGAGUUGUUCCCCACUAUAUUGGAUAAGAU
This 841-nucleotide ribosomal RNA is filed under the name Hypotrachyna sorocheila. Its description in RNAcentral is "partial small subunit ribosomal RNA". It matches the Rfam family "Bacterial small subunit ribosomal RNA", at positions 357 to 1146 of the family's 1533-position model. Lineage: Eukaryota; Fungi; Ascomycota; Lecanoromycetes; Lecanorales; Parmeliaceae. The record is from RNAcentral.